This 648-nucleotide ribosomal RNA is filed under the name Bacillus sp. RC09-6-3-1. Its description in RNAcentral is "bacterial SSU rRNA". It matches the Rfam family "Bacterial small subunit ribosomal RNA", at positions 95 to 728 of the family's 1533-position model. The record is from RNAcentral. Lineage: Bacteria; Bacillati; Bacillota; Bacilli; Caryophanales; Bacillaceae.
GCGGCGGACGGGUGAGUAACACGUGGGUAACCUGCCCAUAAGAGUGGGAUAACUCCGGGAAACCGGGGCUAAUACCGGAUAACAUUUUGAACUGCAUGGUUCGAAAUUGAAAGGCGGCUUCGGCUGUCACUUAUGGAUGGACCCGCGUCGCAUUAGCUAGUUGGUGAGGUAACGGCUCACCAAGGCAACGAUGCGUAGCCGACCUGAGAGGGUGAUCGGCCACACUGGGACUGAGACACGGCCCAGACUCCUACGGGAGGCAGCAGUAGGGAAUCUUCCGCAAUGGACGAAAGUCUGACGGAGCAACGCCGCGUGAGUGAUGAAGGCUUUCGGGUCGUAAAACUCUGUUGUUAGGGAAGAACAAGUGCUAGUUGAAUAAGCUGGCACCUUGACGGUACCUAACCAGAAAGCCACGGCUAACUACGUGCCAGCAGCCGCGGUAAUACGUAGGUGGCAAGCGUUAUCCGGAAUUAUUGGGCGUAAAGCGCGCGCAGGUGGUUUCUUAAGUCUGAUGUGAAAGCCCACGGCUCAACCGUGGAGGGUCAUUGGAAACUGGGAGACUUGAGUGCAGAAGAGGAAAGUGGAAUUCCAUGUGUAGCGGUGAAAUGCGUAGAGAUAUGGAGGAACACCAGUGGCGAAGGCGACUUU